Molecule: ribosomal RNA, 213 nt
Filed under: uncultured bacterium
Lineage: Bacteria
Description: partial 16S ribosomal RNA
Rfam family: Bacterial small subunit ribosomal RNA
Source: RNAcentral
AAUCAACGCUGGCGGCGUGCCUAACACAUGCAAGUCGAACGCGAAAGCCCCGCAAGGGGUAAGUAGAGUGGGCAAACGGGUGAGUAACACGUGGGUGACCUGCCUUCGAGUGGGGGGAUAACGUCCCGAAAGGGACGCUAAUACCGCAUAACAUCCUGCCUUUGAAGAGGUGGAGAUCAAAGCUGGGGACCGCAAGGCCUGGCGUUUGAAGGA